UAGAAGUGCAAUUGUCCACAAUUCAAGAGCAAUUGUUUAAAAUUCAAGAGUUAUCUUCUAAAAUAGAUUUUCUUACGGACCAAAUUAGGGGUAUCAAAGAGAUGAUUCAGCAACAACACAUGGAUUCGAUUCAACCGGUGAAUCUACAAUCGAUUGGUGGACCCUCAGUUGGGAAUCAUCAAUGUGUAGAGAGAAUGCGACCAUGCAAGUUGUACUCUUGGCGUAAAGAACUUGUUGCUCAAGGGCCAGUUAUUUUGGCAGAUGGGCCCCAAAUGAUUCAUGGCAAGCCUCUUUAGGAAGAUCUUUACAAGGUUGCCAUUGAUAUCAUUAUCAAAGGAGACGUCGAAUUGCCCGAGCCAGACGGAUAUCAUUCGACUUUAGGCGAAGUUGGAAUUGGCUCAUUUGUUGCAUGGCAUCAUUGCUUUACUAAGUUCACCGAUUAGUGACAAUAGUCUAAUACUUUUUUGGACACUUAACCUUUUUGGACUGUAUAUAUGUUUUGAUUGUAUAGCUUACUUGAUUAGUUGUUUCUAUAAACUGGACAUGAUAGAUGUAAUGCAGGUUUGUGACAAAUGUGUUGAUGGCUUCGAUCAUCACUGCAUGGUAUCUGUAUAGGAGAGAUUUGCUUCUUGCAUCAGAGAUCAACAUCAUGAAUGAUUAUAUGCUGUCAGGUUUGUCAAUUCAAGAGUUCAAUAUCAUGUUGUUUAUCUAUUGAUCGUUUGGCCUGAAACAUCAAAUUGCUUGAUG
This is a long non-coding RNA of Magnolia sinica, 747 nucleotides long. RefSeq lists it as uncharacterized. The record is from RefSeq and is a predicted model, not a curated record. NCBI's taxonomy places the organism in Eukaryota, Viridiplantae, Streptophyta, Magnoliopsida, Magnoliales, Magnoliaceae. The transcript is spliced from 3 exons.